Long non-coding RNA from Mytilus californianus (California mussel), 2107 nucleotides. RefSeq lists it as uncharacterized. The record is from RefSeq and is a predicted model, not a curated record. NCBI's taxonomy places the organism in Eukaryota, Metazoa, Mollusca, Bivalvia, Mytilida, Mytilidae. The transcript is spliced from 2 exons.
UACACCCGAUUCUAAACCCUAUAUUUGUUUUCAUUGAAUAUUAAAUGAAAAAGAAGGGAUAGCAUUUUUUUGACAAUAUCAAACCAUGAUUACUAAGAAUUUUUUUUUAAAUGAAACCCCACUAGUAACCUUACUUUGACGGUCUUCAUUCGAACUUUGACAAGUGAGUAGAUUUGACAAAUGUCAAAGUUGCCGUUUUGCAUAUUCCCGUUAAAUUCAUGUGCUAUUAUGGAUCAGCAGGUCAAGGUUGGCCAUAUCGUGCAUUCUUAAUACAAAAAAAUACAUCAUGCUCCUUGUAUGCAGUUGUCAAUAUGGACGGGUAUGAGACGGACGACAUUUUGAGUCAGACGUUGGAUUUGGCAGAAUAGUCUAAAGAUAACGCAAUAUUUAUAACCCAUAAAGGUAAUCAUAAAUUUAUUUUACAUGUAACUUACGGUUUUAUAAAAAAAAAGCCCCCCCCCCCACCUCUUCUCAACAUUAAACAAACAAACAUUCAUUUCAAACAUACUGAGGAAUAGGUGUGUCUGGAUUAGAAACUGGACGACCGGACACGCUUAACAUACAAAAAUACAGAUUGCAAAUGUUGGAACCCCCCGUUUGCGGGGCAAUCCAAAAAGGGGGGUCCGAGCCUUGGAAUCCCCCUUUUUUACGAUCAAUUCUUUUGAAUGGGGACAUAUGGCUGGAACACUCCCCUUCUUUAUCCUGGGUUGGCACCCCCUUUUAAAAAUGGCUUGAUCCGCCCCUGGGUGCCAUCAUCAUCUUCAACAAUCCAAAAAUUAAUAAAUUUAUUUUUAUUAUUAAGACUUAGUCUAAAUGUAAACUAUAUGUUUUAAUGUAUAAUUUACAUAAAAGUUCCAGGAGUAUUUAAAUGAUUUGUUUUAUUCAAAAUAGAUGUUAAAGAUUUAUUUUGCUAUUGGAAUUUCGUGAAAUAUGUUUUUUUUUUAAUUUGUCUUGAAACAACUUGUAGUGAACACUAUUCGCUAUUCGUAAUGUCUUGUGUUCAUGCUAUUAAAAAAAAACCAAUUCAUAUUGUUAUGAAUAACGAUGGACUGUGUUUUCGGGAUGUAGAAGCAGGGGUUUCCAGAAACCCCGCUCGUCAUACCCUGUGGUCAAAAUCCAUUGUUACUCGUAACAAUAGAUCUAUUCAAUUUACCCUUGUUUCAGAAAUAGAAACUGUGAAGGAUAACAAUAGAACUGGGGUGUAAAGUUAUAGACUAGUAAAUGAAAAAAAAAUGUAUAUGUCACGAUGGAUUCUUAUCAUUGAACAACAGUCGGUUAAUUACAAUUCCGACGUUAUAUUGAUGAACAUGCAGGGACCUCAGUCAAGAAUUGAGAAAGAGUAACUAGAAUAUUUUUUGAAAUGUGAGUGAUAUACCAGUUAGGCAUAUUACAAGAGCUAAAUUUGUUUAUUCCCUGGACUGAUAUGCAUAAAACCACUCAAGUUACGAUAUCCAAUCGUAGUUAAUUUAUCGUAGAACAUGUAGAAAAAUCCGUCCGUUCGGAACAAAUCUUAACGUAAGAAGCUUUAUGCAUACGGGCCCUGAGCUUCAGAUAUCAAGCGAAAACUGACCUUUGAUGACUAUAUGUGUCUUAUAUAUAGCUAUAUAUAACUAUAUUAAUGUGCUAUGAAAUGACGAUUAAACUUUUAACCAUAAUGAAAAUUAUUACUUUAACUGUGCCAGGUCAAACUUACCGAUCCUAAGACAGGAUAAAAUAGGUGGGAAGUCAUAAGAAGCAAAUAUAGUAAAGCGCGAAUUUCCUAUGUAAAAAGGCGCAAAUGUCCUUUUUUAAAAAGCGCAAAUGUCCUAUAAAUUGAAGCGCAAAUGUCCAUUAAAAUAGAGCAAAUGUCCUAUGACAAAGCGGAAACGUCCCGCGUCGAUUUUAACUUUAUUUAUUUAUUUAUUAAUGAACGAAAUGCACAUUUAUACCCCGAGGUAUAUUAUACCAUUCAUUUUAAAGGUAACAUAGGUGAAAACAAAGAUAAUUAAUGAUAGAUAUGAUAGUUAUUAUUAAUUUUGAACAUAUUUGGAAAUUUGAAUUAUAUAUUUUUCAUAUGGAAUUCUGAAAAAAAAAUAAAGUGAUUAUGAGAAAUCACGUAAUAGCUUAA